This 535-nucleotide ribosomal RNA is filed under the name uncultured bacterium. RNAcentral's name for it is "bacterial SSU rRNA". It matches the Rfam family "Bacterial small subunit ribosomal RNA", at positions 379 to 904 of the family's 1533-position model. The record is from RNAcentral.
AAUCCUGACCCAGCAACGCCGCGUGGAGGACGAAAGCCUUCGGGUUGUAAACUCCUGUCAGCAGGGAAAAAGGCUAUAAAAGCUAAUACCUUUUAUAGCUUGAUGGUACCUGCAGAGGAAGCACCGGCUAACUACGUGCCAGCAGCCGCGGUAAUACGUAGGGUGCAAGCGUUAUUCGGAAUCACUGGGCGUAAAGGGCGCGCAGGCGGUUUUGUAAGUCUAAAGUGAAAUCCUUGGGCUUAACCCAAGGGCUGCUUUAGAUACUGCAAAACUCGAGUUCGGGAAAAGCAAGCGGAAUUCCUGGUGAAGGGGUGAAAUCCGUAGAUAUCAGGAAGAACACCAGUGGCGAAAGCGGCUUGCUAGAACGCAACUGACGCUUAGGCGCGAAAGCGUGGGGAGCAAACAGGAUUAGAUACCCUGGUAGUCCACGCCCUAAACGAUGGAUGUUAGGCGUUGGGAAGUACACUUCUCASUGCCGUAAGCUAACGCGUUAAACAUCCCGCCUGGGGAGUACGGUCGCAAGAUUAAAACUCAA